UUUGAUCCGCUCAGAUUGAACGCUGGCGGGAUGCUUUACAUAUGCAAGUCGAACGGCAGCAAUGGACUUCGGUCUGGUGGCGAGCGGGCGAACGGGUGAGUAAUGUAUCGGAACGUGCCUAGUAGCGGGAUAACUACGCGAAAGCAGCUAAUACCGCAUACGCCCUUCGGGGGAAAGUGGGGGACCCGGGCCCGCAAUUUUAUUAGAGCGUGUCAUAUCGGGAUUAUGAAUAGUUGCGGGUAAUUUGCUCACUGGCAAGAUGAUCCGUAGCUGGUUUGAGAGGACGACCAGCCACACUGGGACUGAGACACGGGUCGCCCUACGGGAGGCAGCAGUGGGGAAUUUUGACAAUGGGGGAAACCUCGAUCCAGCCAUCCCGCGUGUGCGAUGAAGGCUUCGGGUUGUAAAGCACUUUUUGGCAGGAAAGAAAACGGCACGGAUAAUACCCCGUGCAACUGACGGCCUGCAGAAUAAGCACCGGCUAACUACGUGCCAGCAGCCGCGGUAAUACGUAGGGUGCAAGCGUUAAUCGGAAUUACUGGGCGGAAGCGCAGCAGCAGGCGGUUCGAAAAGAAAGAUGUGAAAUCCCAGAGCUUAACUUUGAACUGCAUUUUUAACUACCGAGCUAGAGUGUGUCAGAGGAGGGGGAAUUCGCGUAGCAGUGAAAUGCGUAGAUAUGCGGAGGAACACCGAUGGCGAAGGCAGCCUCCUGAUAACACUGACGCUCAUGCACGAAAGCGUGGGGAGCAAACAGGAUUAGAUACCCUGGUAGUCCACGCCCUAAACGAUGUCAACUAGCUGUUGGGGCCUUCGGGCCUGGUAGCGCAGCUAAUUGCGGUGGUUGACCCGCCUGGGGAGUACGGUCGCAAGAUUAAAACUCAAAGGAAUUGACGGGGACUCCGCACAAGCGGUGGAUGAUGUGGAUUAAUUCGAUGCAACGCGAAAACCUUAAUUUACUCCUGACAUGUCUGGAAUCCCAAGAUUUGGGAAUGUUGUAAGAGAACCGGAACACAGGUGCUGCAUGGCUGUCGUCAGCUCGUGUCGUGAGAUGUUGGGUUAAGUCCCGCAACGAGCGCAACCUCUUGUCAUUAGUUGCUACGAAAGGGCACUCUAAUGAGACUGCCGGUGACAAACCGGAGGAAGGUGGGGAUGACGUCAAGUCUCAUGGCCUUUAUGGUGGGCCAUACUGCUCAUACAAUGGUCGGGACAGAGGGUCGCCAACCCGCGAGGGGGAGCCAAUCCCAGAAACCCGAUCGUAGUCCGGAUCGCAGUCUGCAACUCGACUGCGUGAAGUCGGAAUCGCUAGUAAUCGCGGAUCAGCAUGUCGCGGUGAAUACGUUCCCGGUCUUGCGCCACACCGCUCCGUCACACCAUGGAGGGCUUUACCAGAAGUGUUAGCUUCAACCGUAUGAGGAAGAUUGGCCACGGUAGGAUUCACAUUUGGGGUGGAAGUCAAAAUACAA
This 1463-nucleotide ribosomal RNA is filed under the name uncultured Bordetella sp. RNAcentral's name for it is "partial 16S-23S ribosomal RNA intergenic spacer". It matches the Rfam family "Bacterial small subunit ribosomal RNA". The record is from RNAcentral. Lineage: Bacteria; Pseudomonadati; Pseudomonadota; Betaproteobacteria; Burkholderiales; Alcaligenaceae.